GCGCGAAAACUUUACAAUGCUGGCAACAGCGAUAAGGGAACCUCGAGUGCCAGGUUACAAAUCUGGCUGUCGAGAUGCCUAAAAAGCAUUUCAUAGCAAGGGCCGGGCAAGACCGGUGCCAGCCGCCGCGGUAACACCGGCGGCUCGAGUGGUAACCGUUAUUAUUGGGUCUAAAGGGUCUGUAGCUGGCCGGAUAAGUCUCUUGAGAAAUCUGGCAGCUUAACUGUCAGGCUUUCAGGAGAUACUGUCUGGCUCGAGGCCGGGAGAGGUGAGAGGUACUUCAGGGGUAGGGGUGAAAUCUUGUAAUCCUUGAAGGACCACCAGUGGCGAAGGCGUCUCACCAGAACGGACCUGACGGCAAGGGACGAAAGCCAGGGGCACGAACCG
RNAcentral lists this ribosomal RNA (387 nucleotides) under uncultured bacterium. RNAcentral's name for it is "bacterial SSU rRNA". It matches the Rfam family "Archaeal small subunit ribosomal RNA", at positions 339 to 726 of the family's 1478-position model. The record is from RNAcentral.